CCUACGGGCGGCUGCAGUGGGGAAUAUUGGACAAUGGGCGAAAGCCUGAUCCAGCCAUGCCGCGUGUGUGAAGAAGGCCUUCGGGUUGUAAAGCACUUUCAGUGGGGAAGAAAGCCUUGGGGCUAAUACCCUCGAGGAAGGACAUCACCCACAGAAGAAGCACCGGCUAACUCCGUGCCAGCAGCCGCGGUAAUACGGAGGGUGCGAGCGUUAAUCGGAAUUACUGGGCGAAAAGCGCGCGUAGGCGGUCUGAUAAGCCGGUUGUGAAAGCCCCGGGCUCAACCUGGGAACGGCAUCCGGAACUGUCAGGCUAGAGUGCAGGAGAGGAAGGUAGAAUUCCCGGUGUAGCGGUGAAAUGCGUAGAGAUCGGGAGGAAUACCAGUGGCGAAGGCGGCCUUCUGGACUGACACUGACGCUGAGGUGCGAAAGCGUGGGUAGCAAACAGGAUUAGAUACCCCAGUAGUC
RNAcentral lists this ribosomal RNA (465 nucleotides) under Vreelandella stevensii. Its description in RNAcentral is "partial 16S ribosomal RNA". It matches the Rfam family "Bacterial small subunit ribosomal RNA", at positions 338 to 795 of the family's 1533-position model. The record is from RNAcentral. Lineage: Bacteria; Pseudomonadati; Pseudomonadota; Gammaproteobacteria; Oceanospirillales; Halomonadaceae.